This 321-nucleotide ribosomal RNA is filed under the name uncultured bacterium. Its description in RNAcentral is "partial 16S ribosomal RNA". It matches the Rfam family "Bacterial small subunit ribosomal RNA", at positions 355 to 668 of the family's 1533-position model. The record is from RNAcentral.
UAGGGAAUAUUGCACAAUGGGCGCAAGCCUGAUGCAGCCAUGCCGCGUGUGUGAAGAAGGCCUUCGGGUUGUAAAGCACUUUCAGCGAGGAGGAAGGCAGUCGUGUUAAUAGCACGGUUGAUUGACGUUACUCGCAGAAGAAGCACCGGCUAACUCCGUGCCAGCAGCCGCGGUAAUACGGAGGGUGCAAGCGUUAAUCGGAAUUACUGGGCGUAAAGCGCACGCAGGCGGUUUGUUAAGUCAGAUGUGAAAUCCCCGCGCUUAACGUGGGAACUGCAUUUGAAACUGGCAAGCUAGAGUCUUGUAGAGGGGGGUAGAAUU